Molecule: non-coding RNA, 423 nt
Organism: Poecilia reticulata (guppy)
Lineage: Eukaryota; Metazoa; Chordata; Actinopteri; Cyprinodontiformes; Poeciliidae
Source: RefSeq, a predicted model, not a curated record
AAAGUAAAAAGUAUUAUUUUUUAAAUCACUGCAAGUUAAACUGAUAUUUGUCCUACAGUAAGUACAGUUUGAGUCAAGCCAGCCAAAUGAGAUGUUUGGUGAACAAUUGUCCAAUUCCUCUGGAUCAAAGCUGAACAUACAGACUGUAUGUCUCCAAAUCCUCCUGAAGUUUCUGUCAUGGAGUGGUUGGUUGAGGAACAACAGAGAACAGCACGGGGAAACAGGCAUCUACGGGAACAGACGACAAAGAUUGACAAGGAUCCGACGAAGAACACAGACAACAGGUGUUUUCCCGGAUCGAUUACACCAAGGAACACCAUGUGGCACCGUUCCUAACUCAGCUUAAUUGUAGAUUUUUCUCCUUUCAGAAAUAACAGAUGUCUCCAAGGUAACAGCCGGAGGGGGAGAGGGAAGGAGGGACGG